RNAcentral lists this ribosomal RNA (140 nucleotides) under uncultured eukaryote. Its description in RNAcentral is "partial 18S ribosomal RNA". It matches the Rfam family "Eukaryotic small subunit ribosomal RNA", at positions 1299 to 1458 of the family's 1831-position model. The record is from RNAcentral.
UGGUGGAGUGAUUUGUCUGGUUAAUUCCGUUAACGAACGAGACCUCGACCUGCUAAAUAGUUCGCCGAACCAUUCGGCUCGCGUGUAACUUCUUAGAGGGACUAUCGGUGUGUAGCCGAUGGAAGUUCGAGGCAAUAACA